CCUACGGGAGGCAGCAGUGAGGAAUAUUGGUCAAUGGACGAGAGUCUGAACCAGCCAAGUAGCGUGAAGGAUGACUGCCCUCUGGGUUGUAAACUUCUUUUAUAUGGGAAUAAAAUGUUCCAUGUGUGGGAUUUUGUAUGUACCAUAUGAAUAAGGAUCGGCUAACUCCGUGCCAGCAGCCGCGGUAAUACGGAGGAUCCGAGCGUUAUCCGGAUUUAUUGGGUUUCAAGGGAGCGUAGGUGGAUUGUUAAGUCAGUUGUGAAAGUUUGCGGCUCAACCGUAAAAUUGCAGUUGAAACUGGCAGUCUUGAGUACAGGAGAGGUGAGCGGAAUUCGUGGUGUAGCGGUGAAAUGCUUAGAUAUCACGAAGAACUCCGAUUGCGAAGGCAGCUCACUGGACUGCAACUGACAGUGAGGCUCGAAAGUGUGGGGAGCAAACAGGAUUAGAUACCCUUGUAGUC
Molecule: ribosomal RNA, 460 nt
Filed under: uncultured bacterium
Lineage: Bacteria
Description: partial 16S ribosomal RNA
Rfam family: Bacterial small subunit ribosomal RNA
Source: RNAcentral